RNAcentral lists this ribosomal RNA (479 nucleotides) under uncultured bacterium. RNAcentral describes it as "bacterial SSU rRNA". It matches the Rfam family "Bacterial small subunit ribosomal RNA", at positions 25 to 518 of the family's 1533-position model. The record is from RNAcentral.
CAGGACGAACGCUGGCGGCGUGCCUAACACAUGCAAGUCGAACGGAGUUGAGGAGCUUGCUCCUUAACUUAGUGGCGGACGGGUGAGUAACGCGUGAGUAACCUGCCUCUGAGAGGGGAAUAACGUUCUGAAAAGAACGCUAAUACCGCAUGACACAUAUUUGCCGCAUGACAGAUAUGUCAAAGAUUUUUAUCGCUCAGAGAUGGACUCGCGUCCGAUUAGUUAGUUGGUGAGGUAACGGCUCACCAAGACCGCGAUCGGUAGCCGGACUGAGAGGUUGAACGGCCACAUUGGGACUGAGACACGGCCCAGACUCCUACGGGAGGCAGCAGUGGGGGAUAUUGCGCAAUGGGGGCAACCCUGACGCAGCAACGCCGCGUGAAGGAUGAAGGUUUUCGGAUUGUAAACUUCUUUUCUCAGGGACGAAUUUUGACGGUACCUGAGGAAUAAGCUCCGGCUAACUACGUGCCAGCAGCUGC